CUGUGGAAUGCGGAUGAUUCCCGAUAAAAAUCCCUUAAAUUUCUGUCCCUGGAGGAAUCCGGGCUCUUCCAGAGGCUCCUUUGGAGGAGCCCCGGGAAUUCCAUUUGACUUCCCAGCUUCCCCCGGCUCCACGGGAAAUAACAGGGACACUUUUCCAGGCGUAUCCCAACAUUCCGAAGGCUCAAGGGAGGAACCUGAAGGCAAAUCCCGACUCCAGCCCGGAUUCCUCUCACUUUUAUGGAUUCUCCCUCCCCCGAACAACAACAGCAGCAAUGAAUUUUUUAAUGCCGAAUUCCCUGACCUAAAAUUUCGGGAAUAAACAGGCGUCGGAGCGCGGAUUAACCCGGGUUUUAUGGGCUCCGCGAUCCCAAUUCCUCGGGAAGCUCGGGAUCAAGGAGGGCUGCUAAUUCCUGGUUGUGCAUGAACACGGUGACCUGGCAUUAAAAACGUCCUUAAUUAAGA
This is a long non-coding RNA of Cyanistes caeruleus (blue tit), 462 nucleotides long. RefSeq lists it as uncharacterized. The record is from RefSeq and is a predicted model, not a curated record. NCBI's taxonomy places the organism in Eukaryota, Metazoa, Chordata, Aves, Passeriformes, Paridae.